This 253-nucleotide ribosomal RNA is filed under the name uncultured bacterium. RNAcentral's name for it is "partial 16S ribosomal RNA". It matches the Rfam family "Bacterial small subunit ribosomal RNA", at positions 524 to 776 of the family's 1533-position model. The record is from RNAcentral.
UACGGAGGGUGCGAGCGUUGUCCGGAAUCACUGGGCGUAAAGGGCGCGUAGGCGGCUCGGCACGUCCGUUGUGAAAUCGCCCGGCUCAACUGGGCGGGGUCAGCGGAUACGGUCGAGCUUGAGCAAGCUAGGGGGUAAUGGAAUUCCCGGUGUAGUGGUGGAAUGCGUAGAUAUCGGGAGGAACACCAGUGGCGAAGGCGGUUACCUGGGGCUUUGCUGACGCUGAUGCGCGAAAGCGUGGGGAGCGAUCCGG